CACGGCGCCCUGCCCCCUGGACAGCCCCGAGAUGCGCUGCGCUGGCGGCGUCGGCCGCUGCUCUGCACCGGGAGUCUGCUGCUUCAAAGACUCAUGCCACAUUGAUACUUCGUGUGUCGCUGAUACAACUGAUUCCACCGAUCGGUAUCCACUGGACACGUUUGUUGUCAGCGACGGUGACCGUGACGAGAUGAGAAUAUAAUUAUGCAGCAUGUAAUAUUUGAAAUUCUGAUAAUAAAUGCAAUUCUGAUAAACUUUGAAA
Molecule: long non-coding RNA, 262 nt
Organism: Schistocerca nitens (vagrant locust)
Lineage: Eukaryota; Metazoa; Arthropoda; Insecta; Orthoptera; Acrididae
Exons: 2
Source: RefSeq, a predicted model, not a curated record